CGUGCCAGCAGCCGCGGUAAUACGGAGGAUCCAAGCGUUAUCCGGAAUCAUUGGGUUUAAAGGGUCCGUAGGCGGUUUGAUAAGUCAGUGGUGAAAGCCCAUCGCUCAACGAUGGAACGGCCAUUGAUACUGUUAGACUUGAAUUAUUUGGAAGUAACUAGAAUAUGUAGUGUAGCGGUGAAAUGCUUAGAGAUUACAUGGAAUACCAAUUGCGAAGGCAGGUUACUACAAAUGGAUUGACGCUGAUGGACGAAAGCGUGGGUAGCGAACAGGAUUAGAUACCCUGGUAGUCCACGCCGUAAACGAUGGAUACUAGCUGUUCGGAGCAAUCUGUGUGGCUAAGCGAAAGUGAUAAGUAUCCCACCUGGGGAGUACGUUCGCAAGAAUGAAACUCAAAGGAAUUGACGGGGGCACGCACAAGCGGUGGAGCAUGUGGUUUAAUUCGAUGAUACGCGAGGAACCUUACCAAGGCUUAAAUGUAGUUUGACCGGUUUGGAAACAGACUUUUCGCAAGACAAAUUACAAGGUGCUGCAUGGUUGUCGUCAGCUCGUGCCGUGAGGUGUCAGGUUAAGUCCUAUAACGAGCGCAACCCCUGUUGUUAGUUGCCAGCGAGUCAUGUCGGGAACUCUAGCAAGACUGCCAGUGUAAACUGUGAGGAAGGUGG
RNAcentral lists this ribosomal RNA (665 nucleotides) under uncultured Flavobacterium sp. Its description in RNAcentral is "bacterial SSU rRNA". It matches the Rfam family "Bacterial small subunit ribosomal RNA", at positions 504 to 1176 of the family's 1533-position model. The record is from RNAcentral. Lineage: Bacteria; Pseudomonadati; Bacteroidota; Flavobacteriia; Flavobacteriales; Flavobacteriaceae.